Molecule: long non-coding RNA, 4260 nt
Organism: Trachemys scripta elegans
Lineage: Eukaryota; Metazoa; Chordata; Testudines; Emydidae
Exons: 2
Source: RefSeq, a predicted model, not a curated record
UCGGGGUCGGGGGGCCGGGAGGCUGGUCGGGGGGUCGGAAGGGAGGCUGGGUCGGGAGGCUGGUCCUUGGCUGAGCCCUGCCCCGCCCGGGGUGCGGCUGCCGGGCAGGAGGAGGAAGCCGCAGCGGUUCCGGGCACAGAUCGCGUUGCCCGGAGCCUGCAGCCGCCGCCGGCAGAAGCGUCCGGCGGAGGGGCCGGACCGGAGGGGCGGCGCUGGGAAGAUCUGCAGCCGCCCAGAGAACUGAGCUGGGGCCGAGCCCGUUGGCCUGGGUCGGCGUGCCCUGUGGAUGGGCGUGGUACAGAUUUGCUGCUAGCACAGACUUAGCUCCCUCUGCCGUAGUUUGCCAGGUGGCUGGAGGCACCGCAGCAAGAGAGGACCUGUAAGAGCUCGUCUUGCCUUGGGGGAACAUGCAGCGCGGUGGCAUCACUGUUGAGAACCCCUACGCCAGCGUGAAUAUUCCGCGAGGUCAGCUCGAGAACAGCUUCAUUAAGCGCUACCUGGGGGAGGAGCAGCCCUCGCCCACUGUCAUUGUUAAUCCUGGGGCCGUGCCCACCUACCCAGCCCCAGAGCAGCUGAAUGGGGCCAGUAAAUCGGUGCCACUGGAUAGUUGGGAUGAUUCAAAAGUCCUGACGCGGGAGUCCUGGGCCCAGCCGUAUAACCCUUAUGCCAGCCUGAAGCUGCUGAACGGCGCUUCCUCCACCCCGCUCUACAGCAUCGAGCUAGACAAGCACCAGAAGAGUCCUGAGGUGGGCAAGGACAGUGGCUGCUGCUGCUGUAAGUACUGCCCCUGCUGCCGGAAAUGCUGCUGUGUCGUCUCCUAACCCCACGAGCCCUGACCCCUGGCCACACCCAGGCUGUCGGCCUGAGCCAGCCUCCUUAAGGAGCUGGGAUCCUGCCCGUAGAACUGCAGCCAGCGGGCUGGGAUGGACAGCCCCUGAGCUAUGGUGCCCAUCCUAGCAGGAACUGUGGGGCGCCUCUGGGGGCGAGCGGAGCCAACAGCAGCCUUGCAGUCUCCUGAGACUCUCAGUGAUCUUUGACUCUCUCGGGGCGUGGGGAGGGGGUGUGACUAUAUUUGCCCUGGUGGCAGGGCGGCUUUCUAGACCUUGUUUAUCCUACGGAAAGUGAGCUCAGGUGCCAUGGUGAUGGGCACGUAGCAGUGAUGUGCUGCCAGGAUCGUGACCAGGCCUCGGGGGAGUUUCAAGACAUGCUGAUGAAGCCUGGAGUGCCUCGUGCAGUGCCCUGUGGUGGAAACCUGACCGCUUGCUCCCACUUACUGUCUGGCUGGGAAACAGCCCUGAUGCAACAGGCCGUGCAGCUGUGCUGACCCCCACGCAGACAAAGACAUGCCCCGGUUUCACCCAUUGGAGAAGCAAGGGGGGGCCUGAGCAGUGUUUCAUGGUGCUUGUGGAUUCUCCCUGCCCCUCCCCGUGGCUGAGGCAUGCUGGGAACAGUCUCGUCUAGCUGCAAAGGCUGCGUGCCUCUUGAUUGUGCGGGGAAGUGGCCUUGCAAACCAAGGCCUUGUCUACACACAACAGUCAUGGUUCAUGUGGUACAAUUCUCUAGUGUGGCUGCAGCUAGAUCGAGGGAAAGGUGCUCAGACUGGUCUAGCAUCUGGUAGGGGAAGGGAAUGAGCUCUACUGGUACGAAGCACCUGGAUCCUGCUCACGCUAGGACUUGGGCUGGUAGAACGGGGUAGGGAACGCUCACCCCUGACCCACACGGCUGAGAGGUACAAACUCAGUUUGCUAAGCAGGCUGGAAUGAGGAUCCUGCCAGUCCUUGCCUGCUCGCCCUCUGGACAAAAGAAGGAAACACACCCAGGACAAACAAACAAACCAAGCAGCUUGGAGAAUGUGCUGGGCUCUGCUCUGGGGAUGUGCCAUGGCUGGACACACUGGCCUCUGGGUCUGAACUCCCAGUGGGAGGAGACUGUUCUGGCACCUCAUCCCCCUCGGUGCUGGCAGGAGCUGCUUUCCAGGGCUUGGGUGGCCUGCUGUCCCUGCAGUGCAGGCAGGGGCUGUGCCCUUGUACCCCCAGCUUGGUCUGGAGAGGGGGCAGCAGGCCAGCCCUGCUCUACUGGCCAGUGCCCGGCUGUUGGUGUUAGUGCCAGUGCUGCUGUGGGACUAGUGCAGGCUGCCGAGGAGGGUUCAGAAUGAAAUGGGGAGGGGAGGGGAAGGGAAGGAGUGGGACAAGGGGUGUGGAGUCCUCUAAUCAGAUGGCCAGGAAUAGGGUGUAAUGAAGUCUUUGGGUCUGCUCCCUUGGGGGAGUUUCUAAAGCAGAAGCCCCAGCCCUGAUGUGGGGGGCAGGGCCAUGGGGAGUAGCGGUGCUGUCCUCUGCACGGGCAGAGGGGCGCCAGCUGGUUGGGUAAUGAGCAAGGGGAAUGAGGCAGCACCUCUCUGCCCUUCACGCCGGGUGCCCCUUCCCAUGCACUGCAGCUGGCUGAUUGCUGCUCAGUCCCUCUGCAGCUUGUCAGUGUCACCCCAGACUUGGCUUUCCUGCCAGGUGUCAUGCGUGCUCUGUGCAAGGCCAAGUGGUUUGCAUGUGAAACCUGAACCAAACCCACUGUUGUCCUUCAUAAACAGCCCCAUGCAGCGCUGGUGCCGGCUCCGACCUGCCUCACAGGUGAGUUUCUGCCCUAGACAAGGGGUGUUUCUCUUGCAGCAGCUGCACUGUGUAAGUGCUGGCACAGCCGGGGCCCAGGGGGCUUGGGGCACGGUGGUAAAACUCCCUGAGCCCUGUGCUAGCGCUUACCCCAUUGCUAGACCUGCUGCAUCACUCCUCGAGAGCAGCCGGGCCACUGUCUCUGGGGCAGGUGCCCUGACUGAGUAGUGCAGCAGGACGGGGCAGGGACCAUGCCCAGGGUCCUGUGUGCAGAAUCUCAGCUUGCCCGGCUAGGAAGAUUCUAACCGUUGUGUAGGCUGGGUAGAAUUCAGCUUUUAUUUGUUUGUGAUCUCUACGGAGAGUAUCAAUGUUUAUUUUUAAGAAUAUUUUUAGUUUUAUUGAUUUCAAUUUUCACAGUAGGGGAAGUUAUUGGAGAGUCAGAAAAUGGAGGGUCGGACAAUUAUUUAAUGACCGUAGACGAUGAUAUUCAAAAAGUUAAAGAUUUAAAACCAUUAAAACACAAACUCUCGAAGUAUACAAAGGAAGUAGGCAAUGUAAGAAAAAUGCUGCUUUGAUAUAAGGCGAUCUGUAAAUUUGGGGUAUUCUCAAUGGAAACAGUUUUUGGUCAUUUGGGUGUGUAUGGUGAAAUCGAUGUUCAUGGAUAUUUACCGAUAAAAGUCGAAUCCUUCCAACCCUACCUUGAUGAUUAUAAAGAAAACCUUCCCCGUGAGGGCUCGCUAUAAGACAGCCUGAAACAAUCGUUCUGAGAGGUGUGAACAGCCCGGCCCACCCUCUUGAUGUGUGUUGACUCAAACCUAAUGAUGUCAGCAUUUGAACUAUUUCACUGCUGAUCACUGUAGCAGAAACUCCCGGCUCAUUUUUGCUCACUCUAACCCUAGCUGCCUCCCAGAUAUCCCCAGGUACCAAAAGCUCCCACUGUCUCCUGCCCAGCUGCCAGAACUUCCCCCUGCCAACAUCCAGCCCAGAACUCUGCAGCAGGGGACAGUGUCAGCUCCAUGGACUGGAAUGUCACUGGGACGCUGGGCGUACAGUCCAGGGGGUGGGGUUCCAUGGGUGGGACCAAGGAGCCAUGCUGCAGAGCUCCAGCUCGUUGCCUUCACCCAAGUGCAUUGAGCCAUGAUUGCCCGCAAGGAGUGACCCAGGAGCCCGUCUGCCUCUUGUCCCUCAGCUGCGUUGCUCCCCCCUCCAGGUGAUCUAGAGCAAUAGGCCAGUUGUACUCCAACUAGUGCCUCCAAAGGCCAAUUUGUCCCUUGCCAGGCGAGUGUGAACGCUCCGUGCAUCGUCGCCGGUCCCUGGAUCACAAGCUGCAGUGUAAAGAGCGUUGCAUGGGGUGUCCAGCCCCCAGCUCUGAUGGAAGCUGCAGCGCGUGCCUCCCAUAGACCCCCAGGUGAGGCCUGUGGCUUGCCUGCCGGGGUGCCAUGCAGCCGCGUAGCCAGGACUGGAUGCUGCUGCUGCCAGCUCUGCAUGGAUUCAAUGGGCAUUGUGUGCACAUAGCUACAGGACUGCCCUGGCUGGGACAGCGGCAGAGGUCCUGUCUAUAACACGGCUGUGGGAGGGCCCAGUUCCCAGCAGGGCUCCCCCGGGCGUUUCCUGGUGCCCCUGUCACUGUUGCUGUGAAUAAAGUAAUUUGACCAGUGUC